GGGGCUGUAGCUUAGUGGUGUGGCCUCUGCUUUGCAUGCGGAAGGUCCCAAGGUUCAAUCCACAGCAUCUCCA
Podarcis lilfordi (Lilford's wall lizard) is the source of this 73-nucleotide non-coding RNA. The record is from the annotation of a GenBank genome assembly. Lineage: Eukaryota; Metazoa; Chordata; Lepidosauria; Squamata; Lacertidae.